RNAcentral lists this ribosomal RNA (254 nucleotides) under uncultured bacterium. RNAcentral describes it as "partial 16S ribosomal RNA". It matches the Rfam family "Bacterial small subunit ribosomal RNA", at positions 524 to 776 of the family's 1533-position model. The record is from RNAcentral.
GACAGAGGGUGCAAACGUUGUUCGGAUUUACUGGGCGUAAAGCGCGUGUAGGCGGCUUGGCAAGUUGAAUGUGAAAGCCCCGGGCUCAACCCGGGAAUAGCUUUUGAUACUGUUGAGCUCGAGUCCGGGAGAGGAUAGUGGAAUUCCCAGUGUAGAGGUGAAAUUCGUAGAUAUUGGGAAGAACACCAGUGGCGAAGGCGGCUAUCUGGACCGGUACUGACGCUGAGGCGGCGAAAGCGUGGGGAGCAAACAGG